GUGGUUCUGGCGAGUCGAGCAGGUGCUUCCGGAGUGCUUGGCAGGGGAUAUGUCGUCUCCGGCACGUGUUUCUGGCACAUUUGAGAGGUCCUUCUGGAAUGUAUGGCAAGUGGUUCUGGCGUAGCCACAGGUGAUUUUGGCAUGUCCAGCAGGUGGUUCCAGCGAGUCAAACAGGUGGUUCCAGCGAGAUCGGCAGGUGCUUCUGGCACGUCUGAGAGGUGGUUCUGGCAUGCUCGGCAGGUGAUUCCAGAGUGUCCACCAAGUGGUUCUGGCGUAGCCGGCAGGUGAUUUUGGAGUAUCCGGCAUGUCAUUCCAGCGAGACGAGCAGGUGGUUCCAGCGUUCUCGGCAGGUGGUUCAGGCAUGUCCAACAUCUGGUUCCGGUCAGUCCAGGAGGUGGUUCCAGUGUGUACUGCACGUGUUUCUGGCACAUCCGAGAGGUGGUAGCGGCAUGCCCGGCAGGUGAUUCUGGAGUGUCUGACAACUGGUUCUGGCGUAGCUGGCUGGUGAUUUUGGCGUGUCCGGCAGGUGGUUCUGGGGAGUCAAGCAGGUGAUUCUGGCGUGCUCGGCAGGUGAUUCAGGUGGGUCUGGCAGGUUGUUCCCGUCUGUCCGGGAUGUGGUUCCAGCAUGUCAGGCACAUGGUUCUGGCACGUCUGAGAGGUGGUUCCAGCAUGCACGCCAGGUGAUCCCAAAGAGUCCAACAAGUGGUUGUGGUGUAGAAGGAAGGUGAUUUUGGCGUGUCCGGUAGGUGGUUCUGGCGAGUCGAGCAGGUGGUUCCAGCGUGCUCGGCAGGUGGUUCAGGCGGUCCGGCAGGUGGUUCCGGUCUGUCCGGGAGGUGGUCCUGGCAUGUCCGGCACGUGGUUCCAGCACGUCUGAGAGGUGGUUCCGGCAUGCCAGGCAGGAGAUUCAAGACAGUCCGCCAUGUGGUUCUGGCGUGACCGGCAUGUGAUUUGGGCGUGUCCGGCAGGUGCUUCCAGCGAGUCGAGCAGGUGGUUCAAGCUUGCUGAGCAGGUGCUUCCGGGGUCUUUUGCACGUGGUUCCGGCACAUCUGAGAGGUGGUUCCGGCAUGACCAGCAGGUGGUUCCGGUCUGUCCUGGAGGUGGUUCCGGCGUGUCCGACACGUGCUUCUGGCAUGUCAGAGAGGUUGUGCCGGCAUGCCCGGAACGUUAUUCCAGCUUGUACACCAAGUGGUUCUGGCGUAGAGGGCUGGUGAUUUUGGUGUGUCCUGCAGGUGGGUCUGCCGAGUCAAGCAGGUAGUUCCGACGAGUCUGGCAGGUGGUUCUGGUCUUUCCGGGAGUUGGGUCCGGCGUGUCCGUCAUGUGCUUCUGGCAGGUCUGAGAGGUGGUUCCAGCGUGCACAGCAGGUGAUUCCGGAGUGUCCGCCAAGUGGUUCUGGUGUAGCCGGCAGGUGAUUUUGCCUGUCCGGCGCUGGAUCUGGCGAUUCGAGCAGGUGGUUCCAGCAUGUCCAGCAGGUGGUUCCGGUCUGUCCUGGAGGUGGUGCCGGUGUGUCCGGCAUGUGCUUCUGGCACGUCUCAGAGGUUGUGUCGGCAUGUCCGGAACAUUAUGCUGGCUUGUACACCAAGUGGUUCUCCCGUAGCCGGCAGGUGAUUUUCGUGUGUCCGGCAGGUGGGUCCCCCAAGUUAAGCUGGUAGUUACAACGAGUCUGGCAGGUGGUUCUGGUCUUUCCGGGAGUUGGGUCCGGCGUGUCCGUCAUGUGCUUCUGGCACGUCUUAGAGGUGGUUCUGGCAUGCACGGCAGGUGAUACUGGAUUGUCCAUUAAGUGGUUCUGGCAUAGCCGGCAGGUGAUUUUGGCGUGUCCGGCAGGUGGUUCUGGGGAGUGGAUCAGGUGGUUCCGGCAUAAUCGGCAGGUGGUUCCAGCGUGUCCGGCACAUGGUUCUGGCAUGUCUGAGAGGUGGUUCCUGCAUGCCCGGCAGGUGAUCCCAGAGAGUCCUCCAAGUGGUUCUGGCGUAGCCCGCAGGUGAUUUUGGCGUGUCUGGCAGGUGGUUCCAGUGAGUCGAGCAGGUGGUUCUGGCGUGUGCUGCAGGUGGUUCCGCUCUUUCAUGAAAGUGGUUCCGGCCUGCUCGGCAUUUGAUUCCGGCAUCUCUGGCAUGUGGUUGUGGCACGUCUGAGAGGAGGUUCUGGCAUGCCCUUCAAGUGAUUCCGUAAUGUCCACCAAGUGGUUCUGGCGUAGCUGGCAACUGAUUUUGGCGUGACCAGCAGGUGGUUCCAGCAUGUCGAGUAGGUGGUCCCGGUGAGCUCAGCAGGUGCUUCCGGCGUCUCUGGCACGUGGUUCUGGCAGGUUUCAGAGGUGGUUCCGGCAUGCCCGGCAGGUGAUUCCGGAGUGUCCGGCAAGUGGUUCUGACAUAGCCAGAAGGUGAUUUUGACGUGUCUGGCAGGUUGGUCCUGUGAGUCGAGCAGGUGGUUCUGGCAUGCUCGGCAGGUGGUUCAGGAGCGUCCAGCAGGUGGUUCCGUUAUGUCCGGUACGUGGUUCCGGCGUGUCCGGCACUUGGUUCUGGUACAUUUGAGAGGUGGUUCCGGCAUGCCGGGCAGGUGAUUCCGGAGUGUCCAGCAAGUGGUUCUGGCAUAGCCGGCAGGUGAUAUUGGCGUGUCCGGCAGGUGGUUCUGUGGAGUGGGUCAGAUCCUUCCGGUAUUCUCGGCAGGUGCUUCCGGCGUCUCUGGCUCGUGGUUCUGGCAAGUCUGAGAGGUGGUUCCAGCAUGCCCGGUAGGUGAUUCCAGAAUGUCCGGCAAGUGGUUCUGGCAAAACCGGCAGGUGAUUUUGGCGUGUCCAGCAGGUGGGUCCUGGGAGUCGAGCAGGUGGUUGCGGCGUGCACAGCAGGUGCUUCCAGCGACACCAGCACGUGUUUCUGGCACAUCUGAGAGGUGGUUCCGCCGAGUCGAGAAGGUGGUUCCAGUGUGCUCAGCAGGUGCUUCCAAAGUCUCCGGCACGUGGUUGUGGCACGUCUGAGAUGUGGUUCCGGCAUGCCUGGCAGGUGAUUCCGGACUGUCCCCACGUGGUUCUAGCAUGUCUGAGAGGUGGUUCCGGCAUGCCUGUCAGCUGAUCCCGGAGAGUCCUCCAAGUGAUUCUGGCGUAGCCGGCAGGUGAUUUUGGCAUGUCCGGCAGGUGGUCCCGGCGUGCUCGGCAGGUGGUUCAGGCAGGUCCGGCAAGUGGUUCCGGUCUGUCCGGGAGGUGGUUCCGGCAUGUCCGGCACUUGGUUGCGGCACGUCCGUUUGGUGGUUCCGGCAUGCCCACCAGGUGAUCCCGGAGUGUCCGCCAAGUGGUACUGGCAUAGCUGGAAUGUGAUUUGGGUGUGUCCGGCAGGUGCUUCCAGUGAGUCGAGCAGGUGGUUCCAGCGUGCCCACCAGGUGAUCCUGGAGAGUCCAACAAGUGGUUCUGGUGUAGCCGGCAGGUGAUUUCAGCAUGUCUGGUAGGUGGUUCUGGUGAGUCGAGCAGGUGGUUCCGGCGUGCUCGGCUGGUGGUUCAGGUGGUUCUGGCAGGGGGUUCCAGUCUCUCCGGGUGGUGGUUCCGGCGUGUCCGGCAUUUGGUUCAGGCACGUCUCAGAGGUGGUUCUGGCAUGCCCGGCAGGUGAUUCCAGAGAGUCCACCAAGUGGUACUGGCGUAGCCAGCAUGUGAUUUGGGCGUGUCUGGAAGGUUCUUCCAGCGAGUCAUGGAGAUGGUUCCAGCGUGCUCGGCUGGUGCUCCUGGUGUCUUUGACAGGUGGUUCUGGCAUGUCUGACAGGUGGUUCUGGCACACCCAGCAGGUGAUUCCGGUGUGUCCGCCAAGUGGUUCUGGCGUAGCCAGCAGGAGAUUUUGCAUGUCCAGCGGUGGUUCCGCCAAGUCGAGCAGGUGGUUCCGGCAUUUACGGCAGGUGGUUCCGGUCUGUCCGGGAGGUGGUUCUGGCGUGUCCGGCACGUGCUUCUGGCACGUCUGAGAGGUGGUUCCGGCAUGUCUGUCACGUGAUUCCGGAUUGUCCACCAAGUGGUUCUGGCGUAGCCGGCAGGUCAUUUUGGCGUGUCCAGCAGGUGGCUCCUGUGAGUCAAGCAUGUGGUUUGGGCGAGCUCCGCAGGUGCUUCCAGUGUCUCCGGCACGUGGUUCUGGCACGUCUGAGAUGUGGUUCUGGCAUGCCCGGCCCGAGAUUCCGGAUUGCCCACUAAGUGGUUCUGGUGUAGCUGGCAGGUGAUUUUGGCGUGUCCGGCAGGUGGUUCCGUCAUGUCGAGCAGGUGGUUCCGGCGAGCUCGGCACGUGCUUCUGGCGUCUCCAGCACGUGGUUCUGGCACGUUUCAGAGGUGGUUCCGGCAUGCCUGGCAGAUGAUUCUGGAGUGUCCAGCAAGUAGUUCUGGCAUAGCUGGCAGGUGUGUUUGGCCUGUCCGGCAGGUUGGUCCUGUGAGUCGAGCAGGUGGUUCCGGCAUGCUCGGCAGGUGGUUCAGGUGUGUCCGGCCGGUGGUUCUGUUCUGUCCAGUAGGUGGUUCUGGCGUGUCGGGCCCGUGGUUCUGGCACGUCUGAGAGGUGGUUCCAGCCUGCCCAACAUGUGAUUCCGGAGUGUCCGCCAAGUGGUUCUGGCGUAGCCGGCAGGUGAUUUUGGGGUUUCCAGCAGGUGGGUCCUGGUAUCGAGAAAGUGGUUCCAGCGUGCUCGGCAGGUGCUUCCAGCAACUCCAGCACAUUUUUCUGGCACGUCUGAGAGGUGGUUCCGGCAUGCCCGGCAGGUGAUUCCGGAGUGUCCAGCAAGUGGUUCUGGCAUAGCCGGCAGGUGAUUUUGGUGUGUCCGGUAGGUGGUUCCGGCGAGUCGAGAGGGUGGUUCCGGUGAGCUCGGCAGGUGCUUCCGGAGUCUCCGGCACGUGGUUGUGGCACGUCCGAGAUGUGGUUCCGGCAUGCCUGGCCCAUGAUUCCGGCUUGUCCGACAAGUCAUUCUGGUGUAGCCGGCAGGUGAUUUUGGCGUGUCUGGCAGGUGGUUCUGUCGAGUCGAGCAGGUGGUUACGGCGUGUUCGGCAGUUUCAUCUGGUGUCUCUAGCACGUGGUUCUGAGAUGUCUGAGAGGUGGUUCCGGCAUGCUAGGCAGGUGAUUCCAGAGUGUCUGCCAAGUGGUUCUGAUGUAGCCGGCUGGUGAUUUUGGUGUUUUCGGCAGGUGGGUCCUGCUAUUUGAGCAGGUGGUUCUGGUGUGCUUGGCCAGUGGUUCAGGCGGGUCCGGCAGGUGGUUCCAGUCGGUCCAGGACGUGGUUCCGGCGUGUCCGGCACGUGGUACUGGUACGUCUGAGAGGUGGUCCGGCGUACUCGGCAGGUGGUUCCAUCAUGUCCAGCAAAUGAUUCUCGUAAGUCUGAGAGGUGGUUCCAGCAUGCCCGGCUUGUGACCGCGGACUGUCUGCCACGUGGUUCUGGCUUACCCAGCAGGUGAUUUUGGCGUUUCUGGGAGGUGGUUACGGCGAGUCGAGCAGGUGGUUCGGGCGUGCUCGGAAGGUGGUUCAGGCAUUUCCGGCAGGUCGUUCCAGUCUGUCCAGGACGUGGUUCCUGUGUGUCCUGCACGUGGUUCUGUUACGUCUGACAGGUGGUUCUGGCAUGCCCGCAGGUGAUUCCGGAUUGUCCACCAAGUGGUUCUGGCAUAGCCGGCAGGUGAUUUUGGCCUGUCUGGUAGUUGGGUCCUGCGAGUUGAUCAGGUGGUUCCGGCGUGCUCGGCAGGUGGUUCUGGCGAGUCUGGCACUUGGUUCUGGCACCUCUGAGAGGUGGUUCCGGCAUGCCCGGCAGGUGAUUCUAGACAGUCCACCACGUGGUCCUGGCAUAGCCGGCAGGUGAUUUUGGGUGUCUGGCGGUGGUUCCGGCAGGUCGAGCAGGUGGUUCCGGCGUGCUUGGCAGGUGGUUCCGGUGUGUCCGGCAUUUGGUUCCAGUCUUUCCAGGACGUGGUUCUGGCGUGUCCAGCACAUGGUUCUGGUACGUCUGAGAGGUGGGUCCAACAUGUCCGGCAGGUGAUUCCAGAGCAUCUGCCAAGUGGUUCGGCCAUAGCCGCAGGUGACUUUGGCAUGUCCGGCAGGUGUUUCUGGGGAGGGGAUCAGGUGGUUCAGGAAUGCUUGGCAGGUGCUUCCAGCAUCUCCUGCAUGUGCUUCUGGCAUGUCUGAGAGGUGGUCCCGGCAUGCCCAGCAGGUGAUUCCAGAGUGUCCAAGAAGUGGUUCUUGUGUAGCCAGCUGGUGAUUUGGGCGUGUUGGGCUGGUGGUUCCGGUGAGUCUAGCAGGUUUUUCCGGCGGGCUCGGAGGUGGUUCAGGCGUUUUGGGCAGGUUGUUCCAGUCUGUCCUAUAGGAGCUUUCGGCGUGUCCCAUACAUGAUUCUGGCACGUCUGAGAGGUGGUUCUGGCAUGCCUGGCAGGUCAUCCCGUAGAGUCCUCGCAGUGGUUCUGGUGUAGCCGUCAGGUGAUUUUGGCAUGUCCGGCAGGUGGUUCCAGCGUGCUUGACAGGUGGUUCAGGCAGGUGCGGCAGUUGGUUCCGGUCUGUCCAGGAGAUGGUUCUAUCACGCCUGGCAGGUGAUUCCAAAGAGUCCGCCAAGUGGUUGUGGCUUAGCCAGCAGGUGAUUUUGGCAUGUCCGGCAGGUGAUUUUGGUGUGUCCGGCACUUGUUCCAGCAAGUCGAGCAGGUGUCUCCGGCGUGCUCAGCAGGUGGUUCCAGCGUGUCCGGCAGGUGGUUCCGGUCUGUCCGGUAGGUGGUUCUGGCACGUCUGAGAGGUGGUUCCGGCAUGCCGGGCAUGUCUUCCCAGAGAGUCCUCCAAGUGGUUCUGGCGUAGCCCCCAGGUGACUGAGGUGUCCGGCAGGUGGUUCCGGCAUGCUCGGCAGGUGGUUCAGGCAGGUCCUGCAGGUGGUUCCGGUCUGUCCAGGAGGUGGUUCCGGCGUGUCCAGCAUGUGGUUCUGGCAUGUCUGAGAGGUGGUUCCGGCAUGCCCGGCAGGUGAUUCCGGAGUGUCCAGCAAGUGGUUCUGGCGUAGCCGGCAGGUGAUUUUUGCGUGUCCGUUGGUGGUUCCAGCGAGUCGAGCAGGUGGUUCCGGCAUGUCCGGCAGGUGGUUCCGGUGUGUCCUGGAGGUGGUUCCGGAGUGUCUGUCAUGUGCUUCUGACACGUCUGAGAUGUGCUGGCAUGCCCGGAACGUUAUUCUGGUUUCUUCGCCAAGUGGUUCUGCAUAGCUGGCAGGUGAUUUUGGCGUGUCCAACAGGUGUGUCCAGUGAAUCAAGCAGGUGGUUCCAGCGAGUCUGGCAGGUGGUUCCCGUCUGUAAGGGUGGUGGUUCCGGCGUGUCCGGCACGUGCUUCUGGCACGUCUGACAGGUUGUGCUGGCAUGCCCGGCAGGUGAUUCCAGAGUGUCCACCAAGUGCUUCUGACAUAGCCUGCAGGUGGUUCCGGCAUGCUCGGCAUGUGGCUCAGGCGUGUCCGGCAGGUGGUUCCGAUCUGUCUGGGAGGAGGUUCCGGAGUGUCUGGCACGUGUUUCCGGCACUUCUGAGAAGUGGUUCCUGCAUGCCCGGAAGGUGAUUCCUGAAUGUCCGCCACGUGGUUCUGGCGUAGCUGGCAUGCGAUUUUGGCGUGUCCGGCAGGUGAUUCCGGCAAGUCUAGCAGGUUGUUCUGGCGUGCUCGGCAGGUGGUUCAGAUGUGUCCAGUAGGUGGUUCCAGUCUGUCCAGGAGGUGCUUCCAGGGUGUCCGGCAUGUGGUUCUGGCAUGUCUGAGAGGUGGUUCUGGCAUGCCUGGCAUGUGAUUCUGGAGUUUCCGCUGAGUGGUUCUGGCUUAGCUGGCUGGUGAUUUUGGCAUGUCCAGCAGAUGGUUCCGGCGAAUCGAGCAGGCGGUUCUGGAGUGCUCAGCAGGUGGUUCAGACGUGUCCAACAGGUGGUUCCGGUCUGUCUGGGAGGUGUUUCCGGCGUGACAGGCACGUGGUUCUGGUACAUGUAAAGGGGUUUCCGGUAGGCCCCACAGGUGAUUCCGGAGUGUCUGCCAAGUGGUUCAGGCGUGGCCGGCAGGUGAUUCGAGAGUGUCCACCAAGUGGUUCUGACAUAGCCUGCAUGUGGUUCCGGCAUGCUCAGCAGGUGGUUCAUGCAUGUCUGGCAGGUUCUGGCACUUCUGAGAAGUGGUUCCGGCAUUCCCCGCAGGUGAUUCCGGAGUGUCUGCCAAGUGGUUCUGGCGUAGCCAGCAGGUGAUUUUGGCGUGUCCAGCAGGUGGUUCAGGCGAGUCGAGGAGGUCGUUCCGGUGUGCUCAGCCGGUGGUUCAGGCAGGUCCGGCAGGUGGUUCCAGUCUGUCCGGCAGGUGGUUCUGGCAUGUCCAGCACAUGGUUCUGGCACGUCUGAGAGGUGGGCCGGCAUGCCCUACAGGUGAUUCUGGAGUGUCCGGCAAGUGGUUCUGGCGUAGCUGGCUAGUGAUUUUGACGUCUCUGUCUGGUGGUUCUGGCGAGUUGAGCAGGUGGUUCCAGCGUUCUCAGAGGUGGUUCAGGCGGGUCCGUCAGGCGCUUCUGUUCUUUCUGGGAGGUGGUUCCGGCGUGUCCAGCAUGUGCUUCCUGCACGUGUGAGAGGUGGCUCCGGCAUGCCUGGCGGAUGUUUCCAGAGAGUCCACCAAGUGGUUCUGGCAUAGCUGGCAGGUGAUUUAGGCGUGUCCGACAGGUGGGUCCGGCGAGUCAAGCAGGUGGUUCCGGCGAGUCCAGCAGAUGGUUGCUGUAUCUCAUGGAGGUGGUUCAGGCAUGUCCGGCACAUGCUUCUGGCACGUCUGAGAGGUUGUGCCGGCAUGCCCGGCAGGUGAUUCCAGAGUGUCCGGCAAGAGGUUCUGGUGGCGCCAGCAGAUGAUUUUGGCAUGUCCGGCAUGUGCUUCCGGUGAAUCUAGCAGGUGGUUCCGGUGUGCUCGGCAGGUGGUUCUGGCAUCUCCAGCACCUGUUUCUGUCACGUCUGAGAUCUGGUUCCGGCAUGCCCAGCAGGUGAUUCCGGAGUGUCCACCAAGUGUUUAUGGCUUAGCUGGCAGGUGAUUUUGGCGUGUCCGACUGGUGAUUCCGGCAAGUCGAGCAGGUGGUUUCGGCAUGCUCUGCACAUGGUUCAGGCGUGUCCGGCAGGUGUUUCCAGUCCCUCUGGGAGGUGGCUCCGGAGUGCUGGGAAGGUGCUUCCGGCGUCUCCUGCACGUGCUUCUAGCACGUAUGACAGGUGGUUCUGGCAUGCCCAGUGGGUGUUACCACAGUGUCCAGCAAGUGGUUCUGGCGUGCUUGGCAGGUGGUUCAGGUGGGUCUGCCCGGUGGUUCCAGUAUGUCUGGGAUGUGGUUCCGGCGUGUCCAGCACGUGCUUCUGGCACGUCUGAGAGGUUGUGCUGGGAUUCCUGGCAGGUGCUUCCAGACUGUCCGGCAAGUGGUUGUGGUGUAGCCGGCAGGUGAUUUUGGCAUGUCCGGCAGGUAGUUCCAGCGAGUCGAGCAGGUAGUUCGGGCAUGCUCAGCAGGUGGUUCACCAUGUCCGGCAAGUGGUUGCAGUCUAUCCAGGACGUGGUUCUGUCAUGUCUGGCACAUCGUUCUGGUACGUCUGAGAUGUGGAUCUGGCAUGCCCGGCCGGUGAUUCCGGAGUGUCCGGCAGGUGGUUCUGCAGAGUGGAUCAGGUGGUUCAUGCAUGCUCGGCAGGUGCUUCCAGCAUCUCCGGCAUGUGCUUCUGGCACGUCUGAGAGGUGGUUCCAGCAUGCCCGCCAGGUAAUUCCGGAGUGACCAACAAGUGGUUAUGGCAUAGAGGGCUGGUGAUUUUGGCGUGUCUGGCAGGUGGUUCCGGCGAGUCGAGCAGGUGGUUCCAGCGGGCUCGGCAGGUGGUUCAGGCAUUUCGGGCAGUUGGUUCCAGUGGGUCCUGUAGGUGCUUUCAGUGUGUCCUGCACAUGGUUCUGGCACUUCUGAGAGGUGGUUCCGGCAUGCCCGGCAGGUGAUCCCGGACUGUCCCCAACGUGGUUCUGGCAUAGCUGGCAGGUGAUUUUGAUGUGUCCAGCACGUGGUUCCGGUGAGUCGAGCAGGUGGUUCCGGCGUGCUGGGCUGGUGCUUCAGGUGUGUCCGGCAGGUUGUUCCGGUCUCUCUGGUAGGUGGCUGUGGUGUGCUCAGCAGGUGCUUCCGGCAUCCCCGGCGCGUACUCCUAGCACGUCUGAGAGGUGGUUCCGGCAUGCCCGGCGGGUGAUUCCACACUGUCCGGCAAGUGGUUCUGGUGUAGCCAGCAGGUGAUUUUCGUGUGUCCGCGAGGUGGUUCCAGCGAGUCGAGGAGGUGGUUCCGGCGUGCUCAGCAGGUGGUUCAGGUGGGUCCGGCUGGUGGUUCAGGUCUGUCUGGGAGGUGGUUCCGGCGUGUCCAGCACAUGGUUCUGGUACGUCUUAGAGGUGGUUCCGGCAUGCCCGACAGGUGAUUCCGGAGUUU
Equus caballus (horse) is the source of this 10347-nucleotide long non-coding RNA. NCBI's taxonomy places the organism in Eukaryota, Metazoa, Chordata, Mammalia, Perissodactyla, Equidae. The record is from Ensembl.